Molecule: ribosomal RNA, 253 nt
Filed under: uncultured bacterium
Lineage: Bacteria
Description: partial 16S ribosomal RNA
Rfam family: Bacterial small subunit ribosomal RNA
Source: RNAcentral
GACGUAGGGCGCAAGCGUUGUCCGGAUUUAUUGGGCGUAAAGAGCUCGUAGGCGGCUCAUCGCGUCUGCCGUGAAAACCCGCAGCUCAACUGCGGGCUUGCGGUUGAUACGGGUGGGCUGGAGUUCGGUAGGGGAGACUGGAAUUCCUGGUGUAGCGGUGAAAUGCGUAGAUAUCAGGAGGAACACCGGUGGCGAAGGCGGGUCUCUGGGCAGUAACUGACGCUGAGAAGCGAAAGCGUGGGGAGCGAACAGG